UACGGAGGGUGCAAGCGUUACUCGGAAUCACUGGGCGUAAAGAGCGUGUAGGCGGGAGAAAAAGUCAGAUGUGAAAGCCAAUGGCUCAACCAUUGAACUGCAUUUGAAACUUUUCACCUAGAAUGUGGGAGAGGUAGAUGGAAUUUCUGGUGUAGGGGUAAAAUCCGUAGAGAUCAGAAGGAAUACCGAUUGCGAAGGCGAUUUACUGGAACACAAUUGACGCUGAGACGCGAAAGCGUGGGGAGCAAACAGG
This 253-nucleotide ribosomal RNA is filed under the name uncultured bacterium. RNAcentral describes it as "partial 16S ribosomal RNA". It matches the Rfam family "Bacterial small subunit ribosomal RNA", at positions 524 to 776 of the family's 1533-position model. The record is from RNAcentral.